Molecule: long non-coding RNA, 1580 nt
Organism: Poecilia reticulata (guppy)
Lineage: Eukaryota; Metazoa; Chordata; Actinopteri; Cyprinodontiformes; Poeciliidae
Source: RefSeq, a predicted model, not a curated record
UACACCUGUGAGCAGACCUUGAAGAAAGAUGCUUUAAUAAAAGCAUCUGUACCUAACACUUCGUCUGUCUUUAUCAAGCACGAAUAUAACAAUGACUUGUGUGAUGCAAAAAAAAAUUCCAUUGCAGUUUUGCAAAAUACACUAAUUUCGAUACUGCCAAAAAAGGCUUCUAAUCCUAGUACAAAAAUGUAAUCAAAAAAUUUGAGAGUGAACUCUCUGCUCUUCCUGUCUGACGCCUGUGAACGUGACUGAGGUGUUCAGUUUUUUGUUGCCUAGUUAUUCCUUGAGGCAGCAUCUUGUUCUUCCUGCUGGCUCGUGACGACCUGAACGCAUUGUUCCCUGUGACCACCAGAGAGCCGAGGCUUCCUGCCUGACAGCUCUGCAACCUGAAACGCUUCCUCAAGAAACAACUCACCGCUUCAAUUUGAGGCAACAGCACCAUCAGCUGCUUCACACGACACUUAUGGAGAAGUUGGUUCUCAUCCCUAGCUGGUCUGCUUGUCAGGUCAAAGAGAUGAGCAGCAAUGCAGGAAAAGACUGGAUUGUUUUUCCAACCUCUGGGGUCUUUUAAAAUAUGCUGGGCACCAAUUUGCUGGAAUGAACUGCAUUCCUCAGCAUUCAUAGUGCUGGAGACAUUACUGUUAGAAAUGCAUUCAUAUCUGUGCCCCUCACUCCCGUUUCUCUCCAUUCGGCUCAAGCAGAACAGACUGCAGGACCCCCGGUCUUUACAAAGAGUCACAUUCAUUCGUUUGUCUCACUGUGUCAGUGAUUUGAUCAACUAUCACAACCUUGUGAAUAGUCUGUGGUGAAUUUGCAGUGUAAAAAGGGAAAAAUAUAUUCAAUACUUUCACAAGGUUAUCUGUUUUGUUGACAAUUUGGUCAGUCAAUCUUAGACAGAUAUGAAAGCUACCGUAACCUACUGAAUAAAAUAAUUUAUUUGUGAGAAUUUAGGCACAAGAUAAAACCAGGUUAUACUGUUUGUUUUCAUUGUGUGGAAAACAUUAAACCAACUCAAAUACUCAGUUUUUAGUUUUUAUUGAUCUAAUACACAAAAAAAUUCCAAUUCACCAUACAAACGCCGUAUGUUCUGCAGAUAAUUAAAGCAACUCCUUGUUAACAGGCACAAGGCAACAAUUCAAACAUUUCAGACAUUUUCACAGAACAAAAAUACAUUUGCUUAUUUCUGGUCAUCUAUAGGUUCUGCAUUAAUCUAUGUUGGUUUCUCAUUUCAGGCAUUCGUUCUUUUUCAGGUUUAUUUCUUUAAUAUAAUUUAAUAAAUUCUAUUUUCAUUAAGUCAUUAAAUCCUUGUGAGGUCUCCUUUAAUGUUACCCCAUCAAACGAGCCUCGUGGACGYAACAAAGGCAAKACAGAGAACUGAUUACUGAAAAGAUSRUUUCCUAUUCAUUCACAAACAUGUAUUGGAUAAGCAAUAAAAAAAUACAAUGGAUUUCUUCCUAGAAAUGGGAAUACAAAGUUAAAACAAACACAAGUAUAUUGCCAUCAUAAAACCCCCCUUCAAACUUGGGUCUGCUCUUUAAAAGUGUCAACACCUCAAAGUAUUUGAGCACUAAAACAGCAAG